RNAcentral lists this ribosomal RNA (305 nucleotides) under uncultured bacterium. RNAcentral's name for it is "bacterial SSU rRNA". It matches the Rfam family "Bacterial small subunit ribosomal RNA", at positions 338 to 661 of the family's 1533-position model. The record is from RNAcentral.
CCUACGGGGCGCAGCAGUGGGGAAUAUUGCACAAUGGGGGAAACCCUGAUGCAGCGACGCCGCGUGGGUGAAGGAGCGUUUCGGCGCGUAAAGCCCUAUCGGCAGGGAAGAAGAUGACGGUACCUGACCAAGAAGCCCCGGCUAACUACGUGCCAGCAGCCGCGGUAAUACGUAGGGGGCAAGCGUUAUCCGGAUUUAUUGGGUUUAAAAGGUGCGUAGGCGGACUGUUAAGUCAGCGGUAAAAGCCCGGGGCUCAACCCCGGCGAGCCGUUGAAACUGGCUGUCUUGAGAUGUCGAGAGGUAUG